Sipha flava (yellow sugarcane aphid) is the source of this 778-nucleotide long non-coding RNA. RefSeq lists it as uncharacterized. The record is from RefSeq and is a predicted model, not a curated record. NCBI's taxonomy places the organism in Eukaryota, Metazoa, Arthropoda, Insecta, Hemiptera, Aphididae. The transcript has 4 exons.
UUUGAAACGUAUCGUCUCAAUGAUAAGAUACACUUAUACGCUGCGGUCUCGGAACGGUUUGCGAUAUUUUCGAUGGACGGUUUAUUUAUUCGUAUGGCAAAAGUUAUAUUUAUUCGAUGGAUGGUGAUCCGGCAAAAGUCGCUUGUGCGCGGCACAACGCACUGGUGUACGGGGUAGAACGUCGUUUACGGUUCGAGGUAGGCGACUAUUUGCCGACGUGCACACACUGCUGUGGAGAGGGCAGACUUAGUCGUCACGUCGCCGCCGGUAGAUCUACACGAAGGAAAGAUACUGGAGUAGUUGAUCAGAUGGGCGAGAAAAGCGGCACCGAAUGUUCUAUUGAAGUUGCCGAAAACACACAAAGACAAGUCUGAGCUGUACCGAUUGGAAAGUAGGCACUUCAAUCGCGUCAAAAUGGUGAAUGUCAUCAUCGAUCGCGGGAUUCGAUCUGCAUUAAUGUUUGUCGUACAUGACGAAUACGAAUAUUUAUUACAACGUUUACCGUAAUAGGAAAAACGUGGUAGAGAAGAUGAAUACCAAAGUGCUCUUCUUUACUCAUGUUUUCACAGGGACAGUCACUAGUCUACGAGUGAGAAGGUGCAAAUACCUUAAUGGAAUGGAAGAGUUUUUGGAAACCAAGAAUAUAAAAAAUUAUUACGAGUUAGAAAAAUUGACGCAUUUGUUUUUGUUUGGUGUUUGUACACUGUACAGUUAUGAACAUUAGUACACAAUAUCAACGAUUACAUUAGGUACAUUAAUAGUGUUAAGAACUAUUUAA